This 391-nucleotide ribosomal RNA is filed under the name uncultured Nitrospina sp. RNAcentral describes it as "bacterial SSU rRNA". It matches the Rfam family "Bacterial small subunit ribosomal RNA", at positions 28 to 410 of the family's 1533-position model. The record is from RNAcentral. Lineage: Bacteria; Pseudomonadati; Nitrospinota; Nitrospinia; Nitrospinales; Nitrospinaceae.
GACGAACGCUGGCGGCAUGCCUAACACAUGCAAGUCGAACGAGAAAGUUUCCUUCGGGAAAUUAGUAAAGUGGCGCAAGGGUGAGUAUCACGUGAAUAAUCUGCCCUCGAGAUCGGGAUAACAUGGUGAAAACUAUGCUAAUACCGGAUAAGACCACAUUUCAUAAGAAAUGCGGUAAAAGGAGUCUCAAUCUUCACUCGAGGAUGAGUUCGCGCAACAUUAGCUUGUUGGUGAGAUAAAAGCUCACCAAGGCUACGAUGUUUAGCCGGCCUGAGAGGAUGAUCAGCCACAUUGGGGACUGAGACACGGCCCAAAACUUCUACGGAAGGCAGCAGUGGGGAUCUUGCACAAUGGGGGAAAACCCUGAUGCAGCGAUGCCGCGUGAGUGAAG